CCUACGGGGGGCAGCAGUGAGGAAUAUUGGUCAAUGGGCGGGAGCCUGAACCAGCCAAGUCGCGUGAGGGACGACGGUCCUAUGGAUUGUAAACCUCUUUUGUCGGGGAACAAAGGCGCCCACGGGUGGGCGGAUGAGUGUACCCGAAGAAAAAGCAUCGGCUAACUCCGUGCCAGCAGCCGCGGUAAUACGGAGGAUGCGAGCGUUAUCCGGAAUAACUGGGCGUAAAGGGAGCGUAGGUGGUUGAUUAAGUUAAAUGUGAAAGCCCAGGGCUCAACUCUGGAACUGCAUUUAAUACUGGUCGGCUAGAGUACAGGAGGGGUAAACGGAAUUUCUAGUGUAGCGGUGAAAUGCGUAGAUAUUAGGAAGAACACCGGAGGCGAAGGCGGUUUACUGGACUGCAACUGACACUGAGGCUCGAAAGCGUGGGGAGCAAACAGGAUUAGAUACCCCAGUAGUC
RNAcentral lists this ribosomal RNA (460 nucleotides) under uncultured bacterium. RNAcentral describes it as "partial 16S ribosomal RNA". It matches the Rfam family "Bacterial small subunit ribosomal RNA", at positions 338 to 795 of the family's 1533-position model. The record is from RNAcentral.